RNAcentral lists this ribosomal RNA (479 nucleotides) under uncultured bacterium. Its description in RNAcentral is "partial 16S ribosomal RNA". It matches the Rfam family "Bacterial small subunit ribosomal RNA", at positions 28 to 507 of the family's 1533-position model. The record is from RNAcentral.
GAUGAACGCUAGCGGGAGGCCUAACACAUGCAAGCCGAGCGGUAUUUGUUCUUCGGAACAGAGAGAGCGGCGAACGGGUGCGGAACACGUGUGUAACCUGCCUUUAUCUGGGGGAUAGCCUUUCGAAAGGAAGAUUAAUACCCCAUAAUAUAUUGAGUGGCAUCACUUGAUAUGGAAAACUCCGGUGGAUAGAGAUGGGCACGCGCAAGAUUAGAUAGUUGUUGAGGUAACGGCUCACCAAGUCAAUUAUCUUUAGGGGGCCUGAGAGGGUGAUCCCCGACGGUGGUACGGAGACACGGACCAGACUCACACGGCAGGCAGCAGUGAGGGAUAUUGGACGGUGAGAUAGCGCAUGAUCCAGCCAUCCCGCGUGAAGGACGACGGCCCUAUGGGUUGUAAACUUCUUUUGUAUAGGGAUAAAACUACUCUCGUGAGAGUAGCUGAAGGUACUAUAAGAAUAAGCACCGGCUAACUCCGUG